GGUUAGCUAUGAGGAUAAUAAUUCAGCUUCAAAUGCCAAUUUUACUUUUGAAAAUAUUGUGAUUGAUGAAGCUGUUAUAUUUCUGAGCCUUUC
Arachis duranensis is the source of this 93-nucleotide small nucleolar RNA. NCBI's taxonomy places the organism in Eukaryota, Viridiplantae, Streptophyta, Magnoliopsida, Fabales, Fabaceae. The record is from RefSeq and is a predicted model, not a curated record.